UACGGAGGGUGCAAGCAUUGAUCGGAAUGACUGGGCGUAAAGGGCGCGUAGGCGGCCAUAAAAGUCAGAUGUGAAAUUCCAGGGCUCAACCCUGGAGCUGCAUUUGAAACUCUAUGGCUAGAGGAAAGCAAGGGAAAACGGAAUUCCACGUGUAGCGGUGAAAUGCGUAGAUAUGUGGAAGAACACCGGUGGUGAAGACGGUUUUCUGUGCUAAGCCAGACGCUGAGGCGCGAAAGCUAGGGGAGCAAACAGG
This 253-nucleotide unclassified non-coding RNA is filed under the name uncultured Chlamydiales bacterium. Its description in RNAcentral is "contains 16S-23S intergenic spacer region". It matches the Rfam family "Bacterial small subunit ribosomal RNA", at positions 524 to 776 of the family's 1533-position model. Lineage: Bacteria; Pseudomonadati; Chlamydiota; Chlamydiia; Chlamydiales. The record is from RNAcentral.